UCUCAGUAUUUAUAACGCUUCAGAGUUGGUUCUAUAUAUUUACACAGUACUCAGAGAAGUGUCUCAGAAACCGGUGAACUAAUUAAAUUGUAAUGAAACUCCAUGAAGGUCGUAACUGUUCCUAUCCAAAUUCAUCAUGUAUUCUACCCCAGCACCCAGUACAGUGCCUGACACACAGUAGGUGCCCAAUAAAUAUUUGCUGAAGGAAUAAAUUCUAAUAGAAUUGA
This 227-nucleotide long non-coding RNA is filed under the name Homo sapiens (human). RNAcentral describes it as "non-protein coding lnc-GCSH-4:3". Lineage: Eukaryota; Metazoa; Chordata; Mammalia; Primates; Hominidae. The record is from RNAcentral.